CAGCAGCCACGGUAAUACGAAGGGUGCAAGCGUUAAUCGGAAUUACUGGGCGUAAAGCGUGCGUAGGUGGUUUGUUAAGUUGGAUGCGAAAUCCCCGGGCUCAACCUGGGAACUGCAUUCAAAACUGACUGACUAGAGUAUGGUAGAGGGUGGUGGAAUUUCCUGUGUAGCGGUGAAAUGCGUAGAUAUAGGAAGGAACACCAGUGGCGAAGGCGACCACCUGGACUAAUACUGACACUGAGGUGCGAAAGCGUGGGGAGCAAACAGGAUUAGAGACCCGAGUAGUCCCUGUCUCUUAUAC
Molecule: ribosomal RNA, 301 nt
Filed under: uncultured bacterium
Lineage: Bacteria
Description: partial 16S ribosomal RNA
Rfam family: Bacterial small subunit ribosomal RNA
Source: RNAcentral